AGAGUUUGAUCCUGGCUCAGAUUGAACGCUGGCGGCAGGCCUAACACAUGCAAGUCGAGCGGAUGAAGAGAGCUUGCUCUCUGAUUCAGCGGCGGACGGGUGAGUAAUGCCUAGGAAUCUGCCUGGUAGUGGGGGACAACGUUUCGAAAGGAACGCUAAUACCGCAUACGUCCUACGGGAGAAAGCAGGGGACCUUCGGGCCUUGCGCUAUCAGAUGAGCCUAGGUCGGAUUAGCUAGUUGGUGAGGUAAAGGCUCACCAAGGCGACGAUCCGUAACUGGUCUGAGAGGAUGAUCAGUCACACUGGAACUGAGACACGGUCCAGACUCCUACGGGAGGCAGCAGUGGGGAAUAUUGGACAAUGGGCGAAAGCCUGAUCCAGCCAUGCCGCGUGUGUGAAGAAGGUCUUCGGAUUGUAAAGCACUUUAAGUUGGGAGGAAGGGCAGUAAGUUAAUACCUUGCUGUUUUGACGUUACCGACAGAAUAAGCACCGGCUAACUUCGUGCCAGCAGCCGCGGUAAUACGAAGGGUGCAAGCGUUAAUCGGAAUUACUGGGCGUAAAGCGCGCGUAGGUGGUUCGUUAAGUUGGAUGUGAAAGCCCCGGGCUCAACCUGGGAACUGCAUCCAAAACUGGCGAGCUAGAGUAUGGCAGAGGGUGGUGGAAUUUCCUGUGUAGCGGUGAAAUGCGUAGAUAUAGGAAGGAACACCAGUGGCGAAAGGCGACCAC
Molecule: ribosomal RNA, 726 nt
Filed under: bacterium enrichment culture clone 115
Lineage: Bacteria
Description: bacterial SSU rRNA
Rfam family: Bacterial small subunit ribosomal RNA
Source: RNAcentral